ACUCUUUGUUCGCAGCUUUUAGGAGAAAGAUACACAAACCUUCUAUGGCAUAUGGUGAGUCAGAGCAAUGUCAAGUAAAAAUUGUUUAAACUGAACAGCCCGAGUGUGAAUGUUCAUGGAGUAGAUGUUUCCCCUGGGCCCAUAACCAUGACUGUAGCUAAGGAGAUGCCCAGUCAAAGCGACAAGGAGAGGAGCGAGUGGGAAAAUGGAGAAGCAGAGAAACAUGGUGGCUUGGCUAUAAGUUGGCUCUAAUAUGUUGAUUGUCUUCCUAAGCUGAAAACAACAUGGGAACGUGCUAUGGAAAAACAGGGCUUCUCUACACCCUCCUUGAGACCAGGGACUGAGCCUUACUUAUCCUGCCUCUUCAGAAGUAGCUGCCUAGAAACGGAACUCAAAUGGAACUCAGUAGCAGAAUAAAUGCAGUCAUGCAUCAUUAAUGAUGAGGAUGCAUUCUGAGAAAUAGGUGCUUUCGCCGCUGUGCAGACACCAUAGCGUGUACUGACACGAGCCUAGAUGGUAUGGCCUGCCACACUAGGGGCUGCAGACCCAUGCAGAACUUACUGUAUUGAAUACAGUAGCCAACAGUAACACCAUGGUUGGCCUUGAACUCCUGAGCUCAACCAAUCCCCCCGCCUCAGCCUCCUGAGCAGCUGGGAUUAAAGAGGCGGGCCACACACCUGGCUCACUCCAUCAUAAUCUUGUGGGACCACCGUAGUAUACCUGGCCCAUCUUUGAUGAAAAGGUCCUUAUGUGACACAUGACUGUAGACCGUACUACUGCUACUCCCUGCUCCAAAUUCUUGCCUGUCGCUUCCUUGCUUCUCAAAAUCAUAAGCCUUGACGG
Molecule: long non-coding RNA, 843 nt
Organism: Lemur catta (Ring-tailed lemur)
Lineage: Eukaryota; Metazoa; Chordata; Mammalia; Primates; Lemuridae
Exons: 3
Source: RefSeq, a predicted model, not a curated record